GGGCCGCUGGUCUAGUGGUAUGAUUCUCGCUUAGGGUUCACCCAAAGUUAUCUUGCGAGAGGUCCCGGGUUCAAUCCCCGGGUGGCCCC
Molecule: non-coding RNA, 89 nt
Organism: Podospora didyma
Lineage: Eukaryota; Fungi; Ascomycota; Sordariomycetes; Sordariales; Podosporaceae
Source: the annotation of a GenBank genome assembly